RNAcentral lists this small RNA (51 nucleotides) under Thermoleptolyngbya sichuanensis A183. Its description in RNAcentral is "Nitrogen stress-induced RNA 1". It matches the Rfam family "Nitrogen stress-induced RNA 1". The record is from Rfam by way of RNAcentral. Lineage: Bacteria; Bacillati; Cyanobacteriota; Cyanophyceae; Oculatellales; Oculatellaceae.
AGGUAGAUGCACCCUGAUUGAACCCUCCGGCUUCGGCCGGGGGUUUCUUUC